This 421-nucleotide ribosomal RNA is filed under the name Arge gracilicornis. RNAcentral describes it as "eukaryotic LSU rRNA". The record is from RNAcentral. Lineage: Eukaryota; Metazoa; Arthropoda; Insecta; Hymenoptera; Argidae.
CCCGAAACCCCGCAACGGGUUGAUUCAUCGUCAGCGACGGCGGCUUCGCCAUGGCCCGCGAUGCUCGGACUCCGCUUUCGCGGCACGCGGCCGUGCGAUGCCCGUCGUCGAAGACGUGCACUUCACCCCCUGCAGUACGUCGCGACCCGUUGGGCGUCGGUCUACGGCCCGAGUCGGUAGCCUGUCCUCGGCGUUCCCUCGCCGGGGGCAGACCGUCGGUUGCCCGGCCGGCUGCUCGUCGGUACCCAUACGGUAUCUAGCCGCAUCGAAUUGCGUCCAGCCCGUCGCAAGCGAGACCAGCGUUCACCGGUGGUCGGACCAUGCGCCGGCCCCGGAACUGGUCGGCUGUUCGCAGACGGUGCCCUCGGACGGGCUAUAUAUAAAAUACCGGUCGGCGACGCUAUUGCUUCGGGUACUUUCA